UACGAAGGGGGCUAGCGUUGCUCGGAAUCACUGGGCGUAAAGCGCGCGUAGGCGGCUUUGUAAGUUAGAGGUGAAAGCCCGGGGCUCAACCCCGGAACUGCCUUUAAGACUGCAUCGCUUGAAUCCGGGAGAGGUGAGUGGAAUUCCGAGUGUAGAGGUGAAAUUCGUAGAUAUUCGGAAGAACACCAGUGGCGAAGGCGGCUCACUGGACCGGCAUUGACGCUGAUGUGCGAAAGCGUGGGGAGCAAACAGG
This 253-nucleotide ribosomal RNA is filed under the name uncultured bacterium. RNAcentral's name for it is "partial 16S ribosomal RNA". It matches the Rfam family "Bacterial small subunit ribosomal RNA", at positions 524 to 776 of the family's 1533-position model. The record is from RNAcentral.